This 699-nucleotide long non-coding RNA is filed under the name Marmota monax (woodchuck). Lineage: Eukaryota; Metazoa; Chordata; Mammalia; Rodentia; Sciuridae. The record is from RNAcentral.
CUGUUUUUCUCUUCUAGGGAACAAACAAGAAUCCCAGAUUGAGUCAGAGAGUUGUGUAGCUAUAAGUUUGUGAAGCUUAUUCCCUAUCUAAGCUUCCCUGCCUCCUCUUUCUUACUCUUAUGUCACUCUUCUUGUUGGAGGGGACUUUACUUAUUGAUGAGGACCUUUAUGAAUAUGUCCUCCUUACCAUGAUUAUGUUGUCCAUAUUCCUUAUCUAAUCUGAUUUCACAGAUUUGUUAUCCAAACUAAAAUUACUCUUCACUGCAACUUCAUAGGCUUUCUCUUUAAGCUGACUGUUCACUGAAAUGUAAAUGUUAUUUUAAACUUGCUUCCUAGUCCUCUCAAUACUUUUAUUUGGCAAUCUUCCAGCUCAUUUUCAGCUUAACAUGUACUGUCUAUACACAAAAGUUCCUCUAUUUGCCUUUCUGCGCACUAGAGCUCUUAAACACCUAAUAUAAAGGGACCAUAAAGACCCAGAAUAAUAGAAUGUGCCUAUUAUAUAGAAAGAUACUGUUCAUAACUUGAUUGAUAAUGUGGGCUUUUUGUUCUAGUUGUUUCUUGUGCAAUCAGAGUAUCCAAAAAAAGGAUAAAGGGUAUGAAAUUUUCAGGUAGGCAUCAAAAGGGAUAAAAUUAGUUAUUCAGGAUAAUAUAAUGGAAUUAUUAAUUACUAUUUGGAGCUAAAUUGGUGACAUGGAAGGC